AUGGUGCAAGCGUUAUCCGGAUUUACUGGGUGUAAAGGGAGCGUAGACGGAUAGGCAAGUCUGGAGUGAAAGCCCGGGGCUCAACCCCGGGACUGCUUUGGAAACUGUUUAUCUAGAGUGCUGGAGAGGUAAGUGGAAUUCCUAGUGUAGCGGUGAAAUGCGUAGAUAUUAGGAGGAACACCAGUGGCGAAGGCGGCUUACUGGACAGUAACUGACGUUGAGGCUCGAAAGCGUGGGGAGCAA
This 243-nucleotide ribosomal RNA is filed under the name uncultured bacterium. Its description in RNAcentral is "partial 16S ribosomal RNA". It matches the Rfam family "Bacterial small subunit ribosomal RNA", at positions 529 to 771 of the family's 1533-position model. The record is from RNAcentral.